AUCCGAGUUAAAAGGUAGCCUGGUGGACAUGGCAUUUGCCCGGUAAGCGGAACACUGUGGGUUCGAUUCCUAUCCCUGGACA
This 82-nucleotide transfer RNA is filed under the name Cordylochernes scorpioides. RNAcentral's name for it is "tRNA-Thr". The record is from RNAcentral. Lineage: Eukaryota; Metazoa; Arthropoda; Arachnida; Pseudoscorpiones; Chernetidae.